AUUGAACGCUGGCGGUAUGCUUAACACAUGCAAGUCGAACGAGUAGCUACUUCGGUAGCGAGAGUGGCGGACGGGUGAGUAACGCGUAGGAAUCUGCCUGUUAGUGGGGGACAACGUGGGGAAACUCACGCUAAUACCGCAUACGCCCUACGGGGGAAAGGAGGGGAUCUUCGGACCUUUCGCUAACAGAUGAGCCUGCGUUAGAUUAGCUAGUUGGUGGGGUAAAGGCCUACCAAGGCGACGAUCUAUAGCUGUUCUGAGAGGAAGAUCAGCCACACUGGGGACUGAGACACGGCCCAGACUCCUACGGGAGGCAGCAGUGGGGAAUAUUGGACAAU
RNAcentral lists this ribosomal RNA (338 nucleotides) under uncultured bacterium. RNAcentral describes it as "bacterial SSU rRNA". It matches the Rfam family "Bacterial small subunit ribosomal RNA", at positions 30 to 372 of the family's 1533-position model. The record is from RNAcentral.